Molecule: ribosomal RNA, 373 nt
Filed under: uncultured organism
Description: bacterial SSU rRNA
Rfam family: Bacterial small subunit ribosomal RNA
Source: RNAcentral
CGGAAGGGUGCGAACGUUAUUCGGAAUUAUUGGGCGUAAAGGGUGUGUAGACGGUAUAUUAAGUCUGUUGUUAAAUCUUUCGGCCUAACCGAAAAUCUGCAGUAGAUACUGAUGUGCUAGAGGGUGGAAGAGAGAAGUGGAAUUCUCGGAGUAGCGGUAAAAUGCGUAGAUCUCGAGAGGAACACCAAUGGCGAAGGCAGCUUCUUGGUCCAUACCUGACGUUGAGACACGAAAGCGUGGGGAGCAAACAGGAUUAGAUACCCUGGUAGUCCACGCUGUAAACGAUGAUCACUAGACGUUAAUUUUGUUUACAGAAUUAGUGUCGUAGCUAACGCGGUAAGUGAUCCGCCUGGGAACUACGGUCGCAAGAUUA